RNAcentral lists this long non-coding RNA (430 nucleotides) under Medicago truncatula (barrel medic). Its description in RNAcentral is "lncRNA gene37509". The record is from RNAcentral. Lineage: Eukaryota; Viridiplantae; Streptophyta; Magnoliopsida; Fabales; Fabaceae.
UGUUUUUGUUGCCGUCUUCUCAAGAAAUUAUGCUUCCUCGACAUGGUGCUUGCAAGAAUUAGAGAAGAUUUGUGAAUGCAUUGAGGAAUCUGAAAAACAUGUUCUUCUUGUUUUCUAUGAUGUUGAUCCUUCUGAGGUUCGAAAGCAAAGUGGGAUUUAUUCUGAAGCUUUUGCCAAACAUGAACAAAGAUUCCGACAAGACUCUCAGAUGGUGUCAAGAUGGAGAGAAGCUCUAAAACAAGUGGCGAGUAUCUUUGGUUGGGAUCUACGUGAUAAGCCACAAUCUUGAGAGAUUAAAAAGAUUGCUCAAACAAUAAUGAAUAUAUUGGAGUGCAAAUCUUCAUGUGUUUCAAAAGAUUUAGUUGGGAUUGAUUCUCCUAUAGAAGCGUUACAAAAUCAUUUGCUUUUGGACUCGAUUGAUGGUGUUCGU